UACGUAGGGUGCGAGCGUUAAUCGGAAUUACUGGGCGUAAAGCGUGCGCAGGCGGUUGUACAAGACAGGUGUGAAAUCCCCGGGCUUAACCUGGGAACUGCACUUGUGACUGUAUGACUGGAGUACGGCAGAGGGGGAUGGAAUUCCGCGUGUAGCAGUGAAAUGCGUAGAUAUGCGGAGGAACACCGAUGGCGAAGGCAAUCCCCUGGGCCUGUACUGACGCUCAUGCACGAAAGCGUGGGGAGCAAACAGG
This 253-nucleotide ribosomal RNA is filed under the name uncultured bacterium. Its description in RNAcentral is "partial 16S ribosomal RNA". It matches the Rfam family "Bacterial small subunit ribosomal RNA", at positions 524 to 776 of the family's 1533-position model. The record is from RNAcentral.